RNAcentral lists this unclassified non-coding RNA (319 nucleotides) under uncultured fungus. RNAcentral's name for it is "partial contains 5.8S ribosomal RNA and internal transcribed spacer 2". The stretch from base 1 to 133 matches the Rfam family "5.8S ribosomal RNA", at positions 22 to 154 of the family's 154-position model. Lineage: Eukaryota; Fungi. The record is from RNAcentral.
UGGUUCUGGCAUCGAUGAAGAACGCAGCGAAAUGCGAUAAGUAGUGUGAAUUGCAGAAUUCAGUGAAUCAUCGAAUCUUUGAACGCACAUUGCGCCCUUUGGUAUUCCUUAGGGCAUGCCUGUUCGAGCGUCAUGCGAGCUAUCAAGCCUAGCUUGGUGCUGGGCGCUUGUCCCGCUGUCUGCGGCGACUCGCCUCAAAUCUAUUGGCGGCCUGGACCUUGGCUUUGAGCGCAGCAGAGUCCGCGUAUCUUGCCUUGCGUGCUCGUCCCCAGAAGCUUCUCCAAAGUUUGACCUCGGAUCAGGUAGGGAUACCCGCUGA